AAGAGGCAGGGACUAGUUUCUUAAGUGUUUGUUCUCAUUUGCAGUUUCUGUUGAGUAUGAGAAGAGAAAAAAAUAAGAUAAAAAAGGGAUGUAGAGAGGAAAAAAAAAUAGAAGUGGCUUUGGGUCUCAUGCUGGGGAGAGGUGUUCUGGUGGGUGCUUGGCAGAGUCUCCAGGAGAUCACACACCUCUUGCGAUGCAGGAUAGAAGCUCCCACACCCUGGACAUCCUCAGGACCUACCACAUCCACCAGGUGGCUUCUCCAGGGUAGACAUAGAUACGCGCAUGUCUGAAGACCAACAGAAGACCAGCUGGUGGGAUCGUAAAGACAACUUUCCUACAAAUGUUACAGGCACAAUACCCGGAACACAGGAAGAUUGAUAUUUGGCAAGAUGAUGGACUUCAAAAAUAACUUUGGAUUCUCUGACCUGCUUCACUAAUGCAUGCUGCUGUAAAACCAGGAUGAAGACAAACAGCAUUCUGAACCACAUUCAGAGGCAUUUCUGACUAAGCUUGGUUAGGAGUUCAAGACAAGCCUGUGAAAGACCGCGAGAUGGUUUCUAACAGUAUCACUGGCCUAAGUUGACAUGGUGUCAUUUCACUGCAAGUAUUGAGGUUUAGAAAAGUUCUUCAAGAUUUGACCCGAGGAUGAAGCUAUAAGGACCCAUUGCCAAGAAAUUCUGCUGGAUACACAGCUCCACCCCCUCACCCAGGGGACUACUGAUGUGUUUGCAUAGCAGAACUAUUUAUGAAGAUACUUUUGUGCAAGAUAUGAGUGUGCAAGGCAAGAUUUAGCACUCCAUGGUGAGCAUGGCUGAGGUGACCGCAGAUUAAAGCACCCACACUGGAAGAGGAAAACAGCUGCUUUCCAAGCCCUACCCCAAUGAGUUCAUGAAGACUUUAUGGCAAGUUGAACAGCUUCAAAGAAACACCGAGAAGUCCCCCCUGCUCGUAACCGGUGGCCUAGUCCUGGGGGAACAAGCAGAGGUAGGAACCGAACCCUUCUCAGCCAGGUGACAGAGCUCAACCCCAGUCUGCCUCUUUGUGGGCCAGCAGCACAAUUAAUCUCCUACGUGAGAAGGACACAAGGUGUUAUGUUUUGCAUGAAGUCCAGAUCUCACCAUCUAUUUGCUUGGGUCCUUCAGGCACGGCAGCUCAGGGAAUGCCAGCUCUGCCAGUUGUGACACAGGCUCAUCUGCUUGGCCAGAGCAGCAGCCAGUAACUCCAGGGCUUGGUCAUAUCUGAGCAGAGGUUUUGAGGACGCUCAUUUAAGCAUUCACAUCCAAAAUCACUGUUACAGAGAUAGAAAUACUCUAGUGGGUCUAGCCCAUAGCACUAAACAAUAUAAAAGUUGCCUUUCCUGUGAUGCAAAUAUCAUAUGAUAAAAACCAAUAUAACAGAAACUGCUGGUAGACAGUCUAAGUGGGUUAAUACAGUUAUUAUCCAAGCCUUGCUUCAAGCUGUGGACUGAUAUUUUCCACAAUCCGCUAAUUGUUCAUGAACAUCCAAGCUAGCAAAUUAAAGUAAACCCAUUUUAUCACUCAGAUUUAAUGAUUUUCUGCUGGGAAAUGUUCAAAAAUGUCCUUCUUUGAAAUACUUAGCUCAUCAGCAAAUUCACCAUCAGUUGUUCAUUUCUUCUCCACUGAAGGUCACUUUGAAAUUUUCACAUUUUCCUUUAAAAGGUUUGUAUAUAAGAUGACCACUGUGAGCACGAAGAACUUUUACUUCUCCUUGAGCUUUUAGUUCAUAAUGGUGUUUGAACAUUGUAAGCCUGUGAGUACUGUAAGAAAGUGAAUAUUCAGAUCCAGAAAUUUCAAAUCCAGGUGAAGUGAACUUGCUGAUUAACUCUGUGAAUGAAAUUAGUAGUUCAGCAGAGGUUCUGAUGACAGCAAAGGAAAAUCUGUCUUAAAAUAUAGUAAAACCUGCAGGAAAUACAAGGUACCUGCUGAGAAAUCAGCUUUCUCUUUAGCUAUAACGUUUAAUCUUUUUGACUCUUGCCUAGUUCUUCGUCUGGGGUAGAGGGAACGCAGGUACAGAUUUCACAGUGCUGUCACUGCCAGUGAAAUGUUCAUAUUAAUCUAGAUUUGUAUGCUGUAUAGCUGUUGGCAACGAGGACAGUUAACAUUCCACUAUCACUUUCCCUUCAAGGAUACUGAAGAGCAUUAAAAACAUUAAGCUUUGAGGUUGGUAAUUUACUAAUGAGAACACUGAUUCAAAGAGAAAUUAGAACCUUAAUCUCUCAUCCAUUGAAGCCAAUAGAAAUCAUUUUGUGAUUUCCUUGGGCAGACUCUGUGUAGCUUGUAAAAGGUCACAAAAGAAAUCACAGAAAAAUUAGACUGAAGUUCAAUAAUUUUUUGCUCAUUCAGUAAGAGAAGAAUAGCUGCCCCUUAUGCUAUGCCUGUGCCCUUUAAAUCUGAAUCCCUUUUCCUUAAUGCAGUUGAGAAAUAUUCCAAUAAAUUUAGAUUUCUAAGAUCACAUUUCCGUGUCACCACCAGCUGUGUGCUGUAGCAGAGGAGACAUGGAACAACUGAUAGCUUUGGAGCACUAUUAGUUUUCAUUCAGGCUGAACAUCACAGCUCUCCUCCAUGGGAUCCAAGCUGGAGCCUUCCCUGGUGGUGGAUGCUGAAGCUCCAAGCAGAUCCUGGAAACAAAGAUCUCUUGGACAAGUUUCCUAACAGAAGAAGCAUAAAGCCAGUCCCACCAAACUGAAGAACCAAAGCUUUUGCAUCCUGCUUGCAUGCUCACAAUUACAUUAAGCAUUUUAGUACAAUGGAAAGCCAUACCUCAUGCCACAUAAAUGAAAUUUCCAAAUUCUUGGAAGUAGCUAAACUUCACCAAAAACCAAUUCCAUACUGCUGAGACCUUUCAUUGAACUAAAGCAUCUAGUUUUCAGGGUGACAUAAUGACAUUGAAGAAAUCACAAGUUCUUCAAGCCUGUUGUCUUAUAGGUAGUAUUCUCAAAGGCCUGAUCCAAAGCACUGUGUAGUCAGAAGCAAACAUUUCAACUUGGGCCUCAUGCAAUGUUUUGCAAGAUCCUCCAUCUCUGGUAAUAAUUCAAGCAGUUUAUUACAGAAUUUCAUAAUGCAAUAUGCAUUGCUUGUGUGGCUAGCAACCUUUAUAUCAACAGCGUAGAUAAAUGCCAGUACUGCUAUCAUAAUACACUUCAACUGAGGUAAGAAAUAUAGUGCUGUAUUUACAAAUUUGAUCCAUUCAGGGCCCAGGGCUGUAGCAACUUAUAUAUAGGAGCAUUUAUGCACAAAACCACUGGAGCAUACACAUGAUUAUUUAUCAAGAUGGUCUACGUGUAGUGCUGGUAUUAUGCAUUAGCACCUACUUGAUAUAACAGGAAUAAACAUUUCAUGAAAGAACACAAAGGACGCUGGAAAGGUAUAUCACAAAAAAAUUUAUAUAGUGAACCCCUGGAAUAUUUAUGUUUUACAUUCCACAUAAAGUGUGUGAGAGCUAGCCAUGUAAAGCCUUCCCAAAACCAGGUAAGAAGGACAAUUUUAUAAUGGUGAUAUAACUGAAAGAGCUUUCAUUGACUUUAAGUACAAACCUUAUAUUUUCUAUUGAUGUUCCUUCAACUUAUGAAUCCCAUAAAGAUCAUUCCACACUAUGAUAGAAAGAAUAGAUGUAUUUCCAUGAUAUGCAGAACAGAUUUAAACAUUUGCACUCAUCUGGAUUUAGCAAACUGUAGUGCGCAGUGAGUGGCAGAUGUAUUGUUCUGCUGUGCCAUAUAAAGUAUUAUUUCAGAUGUUUGAAAUAAUGCAUAUAGUUAAAGGUUAUGGUAGAAUAACAUUAAAGAAAUUCAUUGUUUCUUGGCCUGAUGGUAGUAUGAAUGAUAAAAAGGUGAUGACUAUUAUAGCCUUGAAGCAUUACAGUCAUUUUGCUAUGAUAAUAGUCCUCAGAUUUGGUUAUAGCCCUAAUAUGUUACCUGAAAGUUAAAAUCAGAUUCACAGGUCUGUUGGCACAUAGUGAUUACUUAUUGUCUAGGAUGUAAUUUCUAAAAGAAAAGGAGUGUUGAUCUUGAGGAUAAAUCCUGGUUUCUUUCUUUCUUUAUUUUUUUAUUAUUUAAUUUUAAGAGGAGCUAAGCAUGGAGUUUUUAUUUCAGAGAAUGAAUCAAUUCAGGAUUGUCAUUUCUACCUUGAAAUAUGCCAUGAUGAAUACCUCUCCUGCUCUAUGCUUUUAUUACUCUUUGUACCAAAUUAUUAUGGACCACAGGCAGCUGAUGUUUCUGGCAUUACAAGCAAUAGAGCAAAGCUGUCAAGUGACCGAGAGCUUCAAACCUGCCCCUGCAUGAUUUGAGAGCCCCGAUGGAUUGUUUUGGUUUUACUUUUGAGAUAUUUGGGGAUAUUAAAGUGCCCAUUACCACAGUAUUAGUACUUCACCAUCCUUAACACUUGCUUAAUCCAUCAGUUUUAGAGUCCCAAGUCAAGGACUUGUUGUCAGUGAAUUACUGCUGCCAAUGCAAUGCAAACUGUCAGAUUGCAAUCUUAGCCAUAACAAGGUCACAUAAUAAAGCACAUAACAGAGGAAAGACUGUAAUGAUUAUUGUUUUCAUUGUGUAUAAUAUCUAAGUACAUACUAAAGCUUAGUAGUAGACAGAAGAGCUGUGAAAGUCAAGGCAUUUCUUUUGUAUUUCUGAUUCUCUCUCUCUGAACAGAAAUAAAAAUAAAUAAAUUUAAAAAAAAAUAAAAUGAUAACAAUAAUGUUCCAGCCAAAGCAGAGCUGGUUCCAGACAAGCUGAGAAAGAAAUGAAAUGGUGUCACAAUUAUGACAAUGCAGAAUAGAAAUUCAAUAUCUGCUCUGUAGUUUGUGUUCUGUGUUUCUUUAGGGGACUAGAAAAUGUUUGAUUAAAAAGGGAGUCAUGUUCACGGGGUGCAUUACUCAUUCCAGAUUUCACAUUGUAACUCAGGCUAGUCAAAUAUGUUUCUUAGCCCUGAAUCUGUCUGAUAUCUCUGUAUUUCUAGAGCUUCACACAAACGAUUGGAAAUCAAACAUUCACAAGAGAUAACGCAGUAAAGCAUUAAACAUAACGGAUUUUAUGUGUCCAGAGCAAUAAUUGAUUUCAUGUUAUGCUAACCUACUCUGCAGGUUUAAGCAGUGAGGACAGCUCCAUUUCAUAGGGUAGUCUAUGAAUUAUUAUUUUUAGGGUUUUUAAAAGCACUGAGGCAAUUUACGUUUCUAUUUCCUUUUUCAAACAUUUAUAUGGAGAAUUUAUAUGAAGA
Non-coding RNA from Anas platyrhynchos (mallard), 5225 nucleotides. Lineage: Eukaryota; Metazoa; Chordata; Aves; Anseriformes; Anatidae. The record is from RefSeq and is a predicted model, not a curated record.